RNAcentral lists this long non-coding RNA (669 nucleotides) under Coturnix japonica (Japanese quail). Its description in RNAcentral is "lncRNA (ENSCJPG00005015390.1)". Lineage: Eukaryota; Metazoa; Chordata; Aves; Galliformes; Phasianidae. The record is from RNAcentral.
AUGGUCUGGGAUUUCGGUAGUAAGAGACAGAAGAAAGAAAUCUGGAUUACACUUUCUGUCUGUGCAGUUUCUGGUUGCAUGGCCUGCCCUUGCAGAUCUUGGAGCUGUGCCUCUACUAAUACGAGGACCCUGUUAACGAAGCUAAUGAGGAAUGUAAUACCUAACAAAAGGAAAACUGAUGUGCUGAAAUAUUCCAUUUUUCAGAGGAAAAAUAGAUGCAUGCCUGAGGGGAGCGGGAAUUGUGGCCAUCAUUUAUGGAAUUGUGUUUGUUAGUUGUCUGCCCCCCAGCUCUUCCUGCCGGUGUUUCUGAGAGCAGCAGGGCAACUGUCAAUGGUGAUCAAACUUUCUUCAGAGAAUCCUGUAUUCUGAAAAAGAACAGCCAACGUCUGCCAAUGGGCAGUUCCCUGGAGAAGAACACGAAGCAGAAGCAAAUAAUGUCACUGAUAAGGAGGUAAAGGAAAAUGUUGGAAGUGUAUUUUAACUGUACUGCUGUUUGGCAUGUCCUGUGUCAAAAGUAUGUGGGCAGUUCUUUACACAUAACAUGCACUAACUUCUAGGAGAUUUUUGCCUUUCAUAUGCACAUAUAUUAUCGAAUUUAUUGGUCUAUGGGUUGAAAUUUAUUUAUUUAUUUAUUUAUUUAAUGUCAAAUGAUCACUGUUUUGUAUGGAG